Molecule: long non-coding RNA, 1007 nt
Filed under: Cricetulus griseus (Chinese hamster)
Lineage: Eukaryota; Metazoa; Chordata; Mammalia; Rodentia; Cricetidae
Description: lncRNA (ENSCGRG00015038132.1)
Source: RNAcentral
ACAAAAACAAUGGAAUCUUGAAAUUCCCAGAUAAAUGGAUGGAACUAGAAGAAGCCACCCUGAAUGAGAGUCUUCAUCCAGUAGCUGAUGGAAGCAGAAGCAGACACCCACAGCUAAACACUGAGUUGAACUCCUGGAAUCCAGUUGCAGAGAGCGAGGAAUGAUGAGCAAAGGGAUCAAGACCAGGCUGGAGAACUCCACAGAAACAGCUAACCUGAACAAGGUGGAGCUCAUGGACCCCAGAGUGAUAGUUGGGAAACCAGCAUAGGCCUGAUCCAGAUACCAUGAAUGUGGGUGUGUGUUAGGAGGUCUGGGCAAUCUGUGGGGCCUCUGGUAGUGGAUCAGUAUUUAUCCCUAGCGUACAAAUAGACUUUGGGAGCCCAUCCCACAUAGAGGGAUACUCUCUCUGCCUAGACACAUGGGGAAGGGCGUAGGCCCUGCUCCAAAUGACAUGACAGACUUUGAAGAUUCACCAUGGAAGGCCUCACCCUCUCUGGGGAGCAGAAAGGAGAUGGGAUAAGGGGUUGUUGGGCAGGGGAGUUGACAUGUAAAACAAACUUGCUUCUAAUAUAUGUAUAUAAUUUCAAAUAGAAUUUAAAUUUUUAUUUGCACUUUAAUUCUCAAAGUGGAUACAGAUGAGUUGGCUAACUCUUCCGUUUAUAGGCUAAAUACUUUCCUUGAUUAUUUGAGCACUUCUAUUUUUACCUUCAUUAUUUUUCUUCCCACAUCCCUUUUGAUUAUACACCUAAGAUGUCUGCCCUGUUCUGAACUACCAGCACAAAGAGAAAUCUUAUUACUCAGCUUCUUCUGUUUAUUCUCUGCCUCUCUUCUCCAACCUGUAUCAGAACCUUCUUAAUGCACUGCUGUAACAUGCAACUGUGGUUCUCAAAGGGGUCCCAUCCCAGACAUUUCCAGGCUGUGAAGUCAGGUAACUGCACCCACUGUAAUUCCACACCCUUUGACAGAUGGAAUGACCAGUGAUUUGCUUUUGAGAUGCCUCCAGAUUU